Molecule: ribosomal RNA, 783 nt
Filed under: Triticum aestivum (bread wheat)
Lineage: Eukaryota; Viridiplantae; Streptophyta; Magnoliopsida; Poales; Poaceae
Description: partial small subunit ribosomal RNA
Source: RNAcentral
AUGAGGACCAUGUGUUGGAACUGCCGCAGAAUUGGAGUUCUCGCGACUGUUAGGGAGCUCCGCGAUGUCGUGGAGGCGCGUGCGCCGUUGAUCCUAUGCAUUGUUGAAACUCAGCCUGCGAAGGCUCGAGUGGAGGGUUUGGCUGGUUCUUUAGGCUUUUCAGGCGGUUUUGCAGUUCCUUGUAGUGGUCGUAGUGGUGGUUUAUGUUUUUGGAAGGAUCAUGUUAAUCUUGCAAUAAUUUUUUUUUCACGGUAUCACAUAGACUCAUGGAUUACACAGCCAGGUGCUGAUGGUUGGCGUUUAACUUGCUUCUAUGGUGAAGCCAACAGAAGCUUGAGACAUAAUACUUGGGAGACGAUGAAGAGGCUAAGAGGGGAGAGCACACUCCCAUGGGUGUGGAUCGGAGAUUUUAACGACGUGUUGUGCCCGGAGAAGCAUAUGGGUACUAACGCCCGAGAUAGUGGUCAGAUAGCAGGGUUCAGAGAAGCCGUGGAUAUAUGCGAGCUUGCUGACCUAGGGUAUAAAGGACUUGACUGGACGUGGGAAAAGAGGGUAAGAGGGGGCGAGUUCUGUAGAUUGCGUUUGGAUCAUGCGCUGGCUAAUUCUAGUUGGUCGACAAUGUUUCUGUUUGCAUUUCUUGAGCACCUCACAGCACCCAAAUCAGAUCAUUGCCCUAUUCUUCUUAAUACAGAGUUGGAGACAACAAACAUGAGACAUGUUCUAAAAAAACAUUUCCGAUACGAGUGUAUGUGGGAUGCUUGUGGAGGAAGCUUGGAACCGUAA